Molecule: unclassified non-coding RNA, 285 nt
Filed under: plant metagenome
Description: partial contains small subunit ribosomal RNA, internal transcribed spacer 1, and 5.8S ribosomal RNA
Rfam family: Eukaryotic small subunit ribosomal RNA (bases 1-54)
Source: RNAcentral
GGAAGUAAACGUCGUAACAAGGUAUCCGUAGGUGAACCUGCGGAAGGAUCAUUCUUGUAUAACCGAGGUGCGAGGGCUGACGCUGACCCGAACGGUCGUGCACGCCCGAGUGACCUCACACACAUCCAUCUCACCCCUAUGUGCACCACCGCGUGGGUCCCCCUUUGGCUUGUGCGGGGGGGGGCUUACGUUUUCACGCAACGUUUAUAUGUAGUGUAGGAUGUAUUUUUUGUUUUUGCGAUCACGCAAUCAAUACAACUUUCAACAACGGAUCUCUUGGCUCUC